Sturnus vulgaris (Common starling) is the source of this 162-nucleotide non-coding RNA. The record is from RefSeq and is a predicted model, not a curated record. Lineage: Eukaryota; Metazoa; Chordata; Aves; Passeriformes; Sturnidae.
UCUGUGGAGGUGACAAGGACGUGCAGGUGUCACUCUGGAGGUGACAGGGACACUGAGGUGUCUGUGGAGGUGACAGGGAGACAGAGAUGUCACUCUGGAGGUGACAAGGACAUGGAGAUGUCACUCUGGAGGUGACAAGGACAUGGAGGUGUCACCAUGGAG